This 1344-nucleotide ribosomal RNA is filed under the name Prevotella sp. Its description in RNAcentral is "bacterial SSU rRNA". It matches the Rfam family "Bacterial small subunit ribosomal RNA". Lineage: Bacteria; Pseudomonadati; Bacteroidota; Bacteroidia; Bacteroidales; Prevotellaceae. RNAcentral also lists the same sequence under 2 other names. The record is from RNAcentral.
GAGUUUGAUUCUGGCUCAGGAUGAACGCUAGCUACAGGCUUAACACAUGCAAGUCGAGGGACCGGCGCACGGGUGCGUAACGCGUAUCAAACCUGCCUCAUACUCGGGGAUAGCCUUGCGAAAGUAAGAUUAAUACCCGAUGUUCAAAGUCGGUAUGAGAUGGUGAUGCGUCCGAUUAGGUAGUAGGCGGGGUAACGGCCCACCUAGCCUUCGAUCGGUAGGGGUUCUGAGAGGAAGGUCCCCCACACUGGAACUGAGACACGGUCCAGACUCCUACGGGAGGCAGCAGUGAGGAAUAUUGGUCAAUGGACGAAAGUCUGAACCAGCCAAGUAGCGUGCAGGAUGACGGCCUCUGGGUUGUAAACUGCUUUUAGUUGGGAAUAUGUAUGUACCUUCAGAAAAAGGACCGGCUAAUUCCGUGCCAGCAGCCGCGGUAAUACGGAAGGUCCAGGCGUUAUCCGGAUUUAUUGGGUUUAAAGGGAGCGUAGGCGGAUUAUUAAGUCAGUGGUGAAAGACGGUGGCUCAACCAUCGUUAGCCAUUGAAACUGGUAGUCUUGAGUGCAGACAGGGAUGCUGGAACUCGUGGUGUAGCGGUGAAAUGCUUAGAUAUCACGAUGAACUCCGAUCGCGAAGGCAGGUGUCCGGGCUGACUGACGCUGAGGCUCGAAAGUGUGGGUAUCAAACAGGAUUAGAUACCCUGGUAGUCCACACAGUAAACGAUGUAUACUCGCGGUUUGCGUGUAAGCCGCCAAGCGAAAGCAUUAAGUAUACCACCUGGGGAGUACGCCGGCAACGGUGAAACUCAAAGGAAUUGACGGGGGCCCGCACAAGCGGAGGAACAUGUGGUUUAAUUCGAUGAUACGCGAGGAACCUUACCCGGGCUUGAACUAUGGAGGUGCUGCAUGGUUGUCGUCAGCUCGUGCCGUGAGGUGUCGGCUUAAGUGCCAUAACGAGCGCAACCCUUUUCCUUGGUUGCCAUCAGCUGGGCACUCCAGGGAUACUGCCAUCGUAAGAUGGAGGAAGGUGGGGAUGACGUCAAAUCAGCACGGCCCUUACGUCCGGGGCUACACACGUGUUACAAUGGGGGGCAGAAGGUCGCUACCUGGUGACAGGAUGCUAAUCUCACCUCUCUCAGUUCGGAUGGAGUCUGCAACCCGACUCCAGAAGCUGGAUUCGCUAGUAAUCGCGCAUCAGCCAUGGCGCGGUGAAUACGUUCCCGGGCCUUGUACACACCGCCCGUCAAGCCAUGAAAGCCGGGGGUGCCUGAAAGCCGUGUCGGCCUAGGGUAAAACUGGUGAUUGGGGCUAAGUCGUAACAAGGUAGCCGUACCGGAAGGUGCGGCUG